CAGCAGCCGCGGUAAUACGGAGGACGCGAGCGUUACCCGGAUUUACUGGGCGUAAAGGGCGUGUACGCGGCCUGGGGCGUCCCAUGUGAAAGGCCACGGCUCAACCGUGGAGGAGCGUGGGAUACGCUCAGGCUAGAGGGUGGGAGAGGGUGGUGGAAUUCCCGGAGUAGCGGUGAAAUGCGCAGAUACCGGGAGGAACGCCGAUGGCGAAGGCAGCCACCUGGUCCACUUCUGACGCUGAGGCGCGAAAGCGUGGGGAGCAAACCGGAUUAGAUACCCCAGUAGUCCCUGUCUCUUAUAC
This 301-nucleotide ribosomal RNA is filed under the name uncultured bacterium. Its description in RNAcentral is "partial 16S ribosomal RNA". It matches the Rfam family "Bacterial small subunit ribosomal RNA", at positions 509 to 807 of the family's 1533-position model. The record is from RNAcentral.